UUUCGCAAUGCCCGAAAGGGUGACGAAGCGACGCCGCGUGAGCGAAGAAGGCCUUAGGGUUGUAAAGCUCUGUCAGGGGUUAUGAAAUGUAAAUGGGCUAAUACCUCAUUUAUUUGACAAAGGCCCCAAAGGAAGCCACGGCUAACUCUGUGCCAGCAGCCGCGGUAAUACAGAGGUGGCAAGCGUUGUUCGGUAUUAUUGGGCGUAAAGAGCACGUAGGUUGUUUUGUAAGUCAGGUGUGAAAGCCUUCUGUUCAAAGGAAGAACGGCAUCUGAAACUGCAGAUCUUGAGUAUAGGAGGGGAGAGUGGAACUUCUGGUGGAGCGGUGAAAUACGUAGAUAUCAGAAGGAACGUCGGCGGCGAAAGCGACUCUCUGGCCUAUUACUGACACUGAGGUGCGAAAGUUAGGGGAGCAAACGGGAUUAGGUACCCCGGUAGUCCUAACCGUAAACGAUGGGCACUAAGUAGAGGGGUUUUAA
Molecule: ribosomal RNA, 479 nt
Filed under: uncultured anaerobic ammonium-oxidizing bacterium
Lineage: Bacteria
Description: bacterial SSU rRNA
Rfam family: Bacterial small subunit ribosomal RNA
Source: RNAcentral